UAUAGCAGAAGAGGAGCACUGCCCAGGCAGAUCAUUUGUGGAGCCUCAACUCCAAUACAAACGAUCCAUGGGGAGCAGUGCCGAGGUAAAACAAAGGUGAGGCUUUGAUUUACCGGUUGCAUGGGCUGAAUCCCUGUGACUGUCAUCAGACGAGACUGGUGAAGAGCUUCUGAGGAC
This 177-nucleotide non-coding RNA is filed under the name Vibrio metschnikovii. Its description in RNAcentral is "Lysine sequence". It matches the Rfam family "Lysine riboswitch aptamer". From Rfam's summary of the family: Riboswitches are metabolite binding domains within certain messenger RNAs that serve as precision sensors for their corresponding targets. Allosteric rearrangement of mRNA structure is mediated by ligand binding, and this results in modulation of gene expression. The record is from RNAcentral. Lineage: Bacteria; Pseudomonadati; Pseudomonadota; Gammaproteobacteria; Vibrionales; Vibrionaceae.